ACUCAACACACUGAUUCUGCGUGGAUGCAGUAUUACAGAGAAACAGUGUCUCAUCCUGACUUCAGCUCUGUGUUCAAACCUUUCACACCUGAGAGAACUGGACCUGAGUGAGAAUAAAAUAGAAAACAAAGGAAUGAAGCAUGUAUCUGAAACACUGAAGGAUGAACGCUGUAAACUGGAGAGAUUGAGGUUAAGAUACUGUGAUAUGACAGAUGAAGGUUGUUCUGCGCUGACUUCAGCUCUGAAAUCAAACCCAUCACAUCUGAGAGAGCUGGACCUGAGUGAGAAUGAACUAGGAGACUCUGGAGUUGAAAAACUCAGUGAUCUACUGAAGAACCCACAAUGCAAACUGGAAAUACUAGUGUUAGUAUCAUUAUACU
Long non-coding RNA from Cyprinus carpio (common carp), 380 nucleotides. RefSeq lists it as uncharacterized. The transcript is spliced from 3 exons. The record is from RefSeq and is a predicted model, not a curated record. NCBI's taxonomy places the organism in Eukaryota, Metazoa, Chordata, Actinopteri, Cypriniformes, Cyprinidae.